CCUACGGGAGGCAGCAGUGGGGAAUAUUGCACAAUGGGGGAAACCCUGAUGCAGCGACGCCGCGUGAGUGAAGAAGUAUUUCGGUAUGUAAAGCUCUAUCAGCAGGGAAGAAAAUGACGGUACCUGAUUCAGAAGCCCCGGCUAACUACGUGCCAGCAUCCGCGGUAAUACGUAGGGGGCAAGCGUUAUCCGGAUUUACUGGGUGUAAAGGGAGCGUAGACGGCAGCACAAGUCUGGAGUGAAAUGCCGGGGCUUAACCCCGGAACUGCUUUGGAAACUGUGCAGCUAGAGUGCAGGAGAGGUAAGUGGAAUUCCUAGUGUAGCGGUGAAAUGCGUAGAUAUUAGGAGGAACACCAGUGGCGAAGGCGGCUUACUGGACUGUAACUGACGUUGAGGCUCGAAAGCGUGGGGAGCAAACAGGAUUAGAUACCCGAGUAGUC
RNAcentral lists this ribosomal RNA (440 nucleotides) under uncultured bacterium. Its description in RNAcentral is "partial 16S ribosomal RNA". It matches the Rfam family "Bacterial small subunit ribosomal RNA", at positions 338 to 795 of the family's 1533-position model. The record is from RNAcentral.